This 416-nucleotide unclassified non-coding RNA is filed under the name Hevea brasiliensis (rubber tree). The record is from RNAcentral. Lineage: Eukaryota; Viridiplantae; Streptophyta; Magnoliopsida; Malpighiales; Euphorbiaceae.
CCUUGUUGGUGUAGGAUGAUUAAUCAUGCUUUCCAGCAUGUUUGUUGCUACAAUCACUGGUUUCUGCAUGCUGUGACACCUUCUAAUGAUAUCUUCCUGCAAUAACUUCCUCAAUUGGAAGUUCAGCACCAAGGUCUCCACGAGCAACCAUUGCCCCAUCUGAUGCAGAAAUUAUUGAAUGAAGAUUUGGUAUAGAGUCAGCACUUUCAAUUUUUACAAUCACAUGAAUGUCAGCAUUGCUUCUUUUGAGAUAAUCUUUCAAUUCAUGGACCACUUUAGCAUCCUUCACAAAGGAGACAGCAUAGAAAUCAACUUGGUUGUCCACCCCAAAUUUGAUAUCUUCCCAGUCUUUAUCUGUAAUUGAAGGAAGAUUUGCACUUUUUCCACGCACAUUUAAAUGCCGCCUGGAUUUUAGU